GGGUGUGGCUGCCGCCCUUCCCCCACCCACGCCGGCGGGAGCCGCCCGUUCGCGCUGCCAGCAGCUUCCGCCUGCUACGGUCCUGGCAAGCACCUCGGGAUCCCAUUCCUUCACAGGGACCCUAGCCAGUUAAAGCUGAUACAUUCCUGUGGGUCAACUAUGCAACUAACUCAGAUUUUGAGCAAACAAAGCUCUCAAGUUGGUGAUCCUCAGGAGUCUCUGCAUUAGUUGGACAGCUCUUCUGGAAUUAUCUUCUAAGUCAACUGUGGGUUGGGUAGGUGGCUCUGCUGAUUUUUCGCUGGACUUCCACAUUUGGGACGAGUUGGCUGUCAUCAGCUCUAGAAAGGGUGUGGCCGUUUUACAUUGGCUGUUUUCCUCACAUUCCUCAAGCAGGUACUGUAAUAAAGAACUGGAGAAAUACAGUCAGAUGGGAAGUAGCCCUUGCUGUCAAGGAGCUUGCCAUCUAAUGGGGGAGACAGGCAAGUAAACCAAAGACUACACAGUGCAGUAUGGUAAGUGCCAUGAUUUUGAUGUGACAGGGCACAGUGGACGACCUUCCAAAUCAAAGCAAGUAACUAGGGGUUGACAAUGGUAAGUAUCAUAGUUGAAGUAUCCUUGAACAAGGUUUCAGGAAGAAGAAGAAGGGAAUUUCAUGCAGGGAAACAGCCAAAGCUCAGUGAGUCAAAAUAUCACAGCAUUCUUGGUAAGCCCAAUUGUUUUUUCUGUUUUGCUAUUUUGGUGGAGAGAAAGGAACACAUAAAGGAAUAACAUGAGAGAAGGCUAUUUGGGGAAGUGUAGUAGUUAAGGUUCUGGCUCAAACAACAACUGCAGCUCAUAAAGUUGACUUUAGUGGAAGGAUACUGGGGUAUCUCAUGGAAUCUUGGGAACUGUUGAAUAACCAGGGAAACUCUGGGAAACUCACUGGUAGGAAUCCAUAAACUGUCCUCCUGGUGGGCUGUAAACAACUCACCCUCUAUGCAUCUCACAUCAAAAUUCCAGUUUCUUGGGAAAACAAGUCUGUUUGCCCAAUUUGGGUCAUAUUUCCACGUCCAUGUUACUCAGGCAUGAUUCAUCUGCAAGUUAUGUGUAUAGAUAUUUUGCUACUGUUCCACCCUUACGCUGUGCUGGGGAGGGAGGUGUCACUGUGAGCUGUGUCGGUGCCUUAAGAGAUAUCUGUUGUGUCUUAUUACUUGGUUGCUUUUCCCCACAUGUACAAUGACAAAAAUGCCUUCAACCUAUUUGAUCCAGCCGUUCCAGUACAACUCCUAUACUUGCCAUCUUUCCAAGCCCAAAGGUACAUCCAGCUGAUGGAAGGAGCAUCUUGGUGUUAAUAUUCUUUUAGUCAUGGUCUCUGAAAGUAAAAUGUCUAUUCUUCUAAUUCUGGCACAAUCUUAUCUAGCUAUAGUUCCUCAUGGUCCUGCACUCCAUGGACUAAAUUGUAAGUAUAAUUACUACCAAUGUACUCUAUAAAUAACUUUUGGGGCCAGGGUGGCAAUAGUUGCUAGAGAGAAAAAAAAAAAAAAGGAAGGAGAAGAAAACAGUGAUAGUUCUUAUUUUAAAAGGAAAAAAAGAGGCAGGAGGCUCUCUUGAGGCCAGGAGUUUAAGACCAGCCUAGGCAGCAUUUCAAGACCCUGUCUCUACUAAAAAGUAAAAAAAAAAUUUAGUCAGGCAUGGUGGCAUGCACCUGUAGUCGUAGCUACUCAGGAGACUGAGGUGGGAGGAUUGAUUGAGCUCAGGAGUUUGAGGCUGCAGUGAGCAAUCAUCAUGCCAUUGCACUCCAGCCUGGGCAUCAGAGCAAGACCUUGUCUUUUAGGAAAAAAAGGCAGGGAAGAGGAAUAGGUAAUUUUUCAGUGUUCAGACAUUCCAGCAAUAUGUGUGGAGUACUCAUUCUCACUACAGUUUAUGAGGCCAUAGCUAGUAUGUAUGACUACCCAUCCAAGUUUCCCUGCUUACAGUUACUAUUCCAACUGAUUGGGGGGCUUUUCCUAAUAGAGUGAUUUAAGCCUUCAUUUUUAGACAUCUAAGCCCUUGGUGAUCAUCAGCAUAAAAUGUGACAAAUUAAACAAAAGCAAGACAGCACAUCAGAGAACAACUCUGAGGUGGAAUGAUUGGGAACCAAUGAAUAGUUGUUCAGUAAAUGGUUUAUAUUUUACAGAUGAUGAAACUGAAACACAAAAAAUUUAGAUUAACUCUUAGGUGACAAAGCCAGGAUUGAAGCUCAUGCGGUCUGGCUCCAGAACAACUCUUCUUCAUAGUUACGUUAUACUGCCCCUGCAUUGUUGGUAUUGAAAAAUUUCCUUUCAUCUCUGGUAAAAGUCAGCUCUCUAACUACUGCAUCUCACAGCUGAACAGAUAACUGAUACCGUGCUUCCAGAAGAUUUUUCUAACAGUGUUUGCAAGCUAUAAAAUAGUGCUUUCACUUAGAAAAGGCUAGACGUGGUGGUUCAUGCCUGUAAUCCCAGCACUUUGAGAGGCCGAGGCACCAUGCUGGGAGAUAAGGAUCCAACAUAAGACAAACAGUGCUGAUGCUUUUGGAAAGCUCAUAUUCAAGCUGGGGAGACAAACAACAUACAAGUGGCUGUAGCUACCUUCUGCAUAUGGAUAUCCAGUUUUCCCAGCACCACUUAUUAAAGAGACUGUCUUUUCUGCAGUGUAUAUUCUUGGCACCGUUGUUGAAAAUGAAUUCAUUGUAGGUGUGUGGGUUUGUUUCUGGGUUCUCUAUUCUGUUCAACUUGUCUAUGUGUCUGUUUUUAUGCCAGUACCGUGUCAUUUUAGUUACCAGAGCUCUGCAGUAUAAUUUGAAACCAGGUCAUGUGAUUCCUCCAGUUUUGUGGUAUUAGGAUAGGUUUGGCUAUUCUGAGUCUUUUGUGGUUCCAUAUAAAUUUUAGAAUUUUUUUUUUCUAUUUCUGUGAAGAAUGUCAUUGGUAUUUUGAUAGGGAUUGCGUUGAAUCUGUAGAUUGCUUUGGGUAGUAUGGACAUUUUAACAAUAUUCAUUCUUCUAAUCCAUGAACAUG
RNAcentral lists this long non-coding RNA (3014 nucleotides) under Homo sapiens (human). RNAcentral describes it as "CCDC18 antisense RNA 1". The record is from RNAcentral. Lineage: Eukaryota; Metazoa; Chordata; Mammalia; Primates; Hominidae.